CUGGUCCUCAUACUUGGUGAUGAACAAGAAUCGAGAAUUCCAUGCUAAUCAUGAUAUGGCGGGUCCUACCUGCUCAAGAUUAGAAAUCGAAAACCUCUGAAAGUUUGGACUGGCCUUAGCCAAUUUGAACGC
Molecule: small nucleolar RNA, 132 nt
Organism: Lachancea thermotolerans CBS 6340
Lineage: Eukaryota; Fungi; Ascomycota; Saccharomycetes; Saccharomycetales; Saccharomycetaceae
Source: RefSeq, a predicted model, not a curated record